Molecule: long non-coding RNA, 984 nt
Organism: Venturia canescens
Lineage: Eukaryota; Metazoa; Arthropoda; Insecta; Hymenoptera; Ichneumonidae
Exons: 2
Source: RefSeq, a predicted model, not a curated record
ACGUAUCGUGGACGAACGAGAAGUCGAAUUUGUUUGUACGAGACGGAGCGUGUUCAGAGUCCUGGUAAAUUGCCAGGAUUAUGAGCGACUCGGCUGAGUUAUACGCCAAGAGACGAAAUUAUCGUGUUAGUAUCGAUCGGUGGAUUGGGAGCAGACUCUGCGCCGUAAUUAUCGACUUGACGGGCCGAAAAUGAACUUUCAUUUUUAUAUUCUUUCGUAUAUCUUUCAGCCAAUAUUCAUGAAUCGAUGAAUCGAGAAAAUUGUUAAAAAAUGAAGGAAAUUUCUGUUUGAAAAUGAAAAAAAGCGUGAAUGCAAGCAUCGAAAAUCGCAUUUUAUUCUUCAACUCGGUCACGUAUUUUUAUCGCUUCAUUGUCGCGAAUUUAAUUUCGCAAUGAAUGAAAAUUCCGAUGCCGGAGAUAGCGCGAUCGCUCCAAACCGAGGAGUAUCGAAUUUAGUUGACUCUCUCACCGGAAGAUGUUUCUGAAAUUAUAAAUGAGUUACCAGCGAAUUGAGUUUACGACCUCGUCGGAUAUUCGAUGCGAAACAAACACGACUGCGUUCACAUUUCAUUUAAUAUUUCGUACCAACUCAUCAUCUCUCACUUUUCGGAUCCGGAGAGACUUUAAUUACUUGAGGAGAUCUCGACGAUAAAAUUCUCACCCGAUGAUCGUCCAGGGGAAAAAAUUGCUCCAAAUGAAAAAACUAAUUGAAAGCAUCGAGCGGAUCAUUAUUGUCGGAUGAGCGAGAGAUGACGAGUGGGAUUGGAACAUCGUUUCGAAGGGCAUUCCAGCGUCGCGAUCUCAAAGCUUCCAGGCUGGACGAUUCAUCCAAGUUUUUUAUGGGCCAACUCGUUCGUAUGGAAGUGAAGUAAUUAUGAGACAUAUUAUUGAAACCUCACCGCUAUUUUCAACUCGAUAAUCGAUUUUAUGUAACCGUUAAUACGGUCCCACACAUUCGUUUCGUCAAAGCACUGUACAACCUCGA